UAUAGUUUUCUGCUACCAAAAAGUAAGAUGAAUAAUACAACAAUGAAGAAUCCAUUGAGAAAAUAUAUUGGCCUAUUUCUUAUCAUGUAUGUAUUUAUCAAUGACUAGCAAUUGUUGUUUUUUUUAUCCAGAGUACUGGGAACUGGGAAUAUACUGAGCAGAGAUCCUAAGUUUCAGAUGAAAGUCAACAAAUAUGAACUUCAUCUUUCAACAUAAAAGGAAACCAGGUGGAUUUUGUUUUUGGAAACAGCCAACGGACAGCUGGAACAAAGUCUGGAACAAGGAUUGGAGUAAACAGUCUGUGAAACGCUUUUCUCAUGUACUAAAAAUGUUUGACAACAACUACCCUAAGGGAAUUACUCUAAGUCUCCUGAAAUCUUAAGGAAGUCAAAAAUAUUUUUAACAAACAAAAAGCUGUAUUAUAACAAUAAUAAUAGUUAAAGCUGAUAUUUUAUAUAGUGCUUUAACUAUAUGACUCUCAAAACAACACUAUAAGAUAAGUAUUAUUACUCCCAUUUAAUAGAAGCUCAGAAAGAGUAACUGACUCAUUUAUGGUCACAAAGGCAGUAUGGAAAUAAAAUUCAAACUCAGGUCUUUCCUGACUCCAAUUCUAGUACUCUUUCCAUUAUACCUUGUUGUCUAGAAGUAAAACUAUACCACAUUUUGCAUGUCAUUAGCCAAAUUUUCAGUGUAAAUGCUAAGAUUCUUGUUUCUUGUAUUAAAUAACUCCCACAAGUCUAAACGUAAUCAUAAAAAAGAUAACAUUUCUACUUUUAGA
This is a non-coding RNA of Phascolarctos cinereus (koala), 778 nucleotides long. The record is from RefSeq and is a predicted model, not a curated record. NCBI's taxonomy places the organism in Eukaryota, Metazoa, Chordata, Mammalia, Diprotodontia, Phascolarctidae.